This 421-nucleotide ribosomal RNA is filed under the name uncultured bacterium. RNAcentral's name for it is "bacterial SSU rRNA". It matches the Rfam family "Bacterial small subunit ribosomal RNA", at positions 29 to 496 of the family's 1533-position model. The record is from RNAcentral.
AACGAACGCUGGCGGCAGGCCUAACACAUGCAAGUCGAACGCAUCGCAAGAUGAGUGGCGGACGGGUGAGUAACGCGUGGGAACCUUCCCAGUGGUGCGGAAUAGCUCAGGGAAACUUGAGGUAAUACCGCAUGAGCCCGCAAGGGGAAAGAUUUAUCGCCAUUGGAUGGGCCCGCGUCGGAUUAGCUAGUUGGUGAGGUAACGGCUCACCAAGGCGACGAUCCGUAGCUGGUUUGAGAGAAUGACCAGCCACACUGGGACUGAGACACGGCCCAGACUCCUACGGGAGGCAGCAGUGGGGAAUAUUGGACAAUGGGCGCAAGCCUGAUCCAGCCAUGCCGCGUGAGUGACGAAGGCCUUAGGGUUGUAAAGCUCUUUUGGUCGGGGACGAUAAUGACGGUACCCGCAGAAUAAGCCCCGG